GAUGAACGCUAGCUACAGGCUUAACACAUGCAAGUCGUGGGGCAUCAUGAUGUAGUAAUACAUUGAUGGCGACCGGCGCACGGGUGAGUAACGCGUAUCCAACCUACCCUCCACUCAAGUAUAGGCUUCCGAAAGGGAGAUUAAUCCUUGAUAUCGUCAUUCUCUCUCCUGUUAGAAUGAUAAAAGGACAUCGUUUCGGUAGAGGAUGGGGAUGCGUUCCAUUAGGUAGUAGGCGGUUUAACAGGCCACCUAGCCGAUGAUGGAUAGGGGUUCUGAGAGGAAUGUCCCCCACACUGGUACUGAGAUACGGACCAGACUCCUACGGGAGGCAGCAGUGAGGAAUAUUGGUCAAUGGGCGCAAGCCUGAACCAGCCAUGUAGCGUGAAGGAUGACGGUUUUUUUGAUUGUAAACUUCUUUUCUGUGGGAUUAAAGUGUGGCAUUUAUGCCAUAUGGCAGUAUC
Molecule: ribosomal RNA, 461 nt
Filed under: Bacteroidetes bacterium oral taxon 272
Lineage: Bacteria; Pseudomonadati; Bacteroidota
Description: bacterial SSU rRNA
Rfam family: Bacterial small subunit ribosomal RNA
Source: RNAcentral